UUUACGCACGACUGUAAGUCGCUUUGGGUAGAAGCGUCUGCUAAAUUGUAUACA
Non-coding RNA from Salmo salar (Atlantic salmon), 54 nucleotides. NCBI's taxonomy places the organism in Eukaryota, Metazoa, Chordata, Actinopteri, Salmoniformes, Salmonidae. The record is from Rfam.